Molecule: ribosomal RNA, 348 nt
Filed under: uncultured bacterium
Lineage: Bacteria
Description: bacterial SSU rRNA
Rfam family: Bacterial small subunit ribosomal RNA
Source: RNAcentral
GGGCCCGCACAAGCGGUGGAGUAUGUGGUUUAAUUCGAUGCAACGCGAAGAACCUUACCAGGGUUUGACAUCCUGCGAAUCUCUUGGAAACGAGAGAGUGCCUUCGGGAACGCAGUGACAGGUGGUGCAUGGCUGUCGUCAGCUCGUGUCGUGAGAUGUUGGGUUAAGUCCCGCAACGAGCGCAACCCACGUCUUUAGUUGCCAGCAUUUAGUUGGGCACUCUAGAGAGACUGCCGGUGAUAAACCGGAGGAAGGUGUGGAUGACGUCAAGUCAUCAUGGCCCUUACGGCCUGGGCUACACACGUGCUACAAUGGCUAGGACAGACGGCCGCAAACCCCCGCGAGGGG